Molecule: ribosomal RNA, 369 nt
Filed under: Camponotus sp. MG053
Lineage: Eukaryota; Metazoa; Arthropoda; Insecta; Hymenoptera; Formicidae
Description: partial 12S ribosomal RNA
Source: RNAcentral
AAACUAGGAUUAGAUACCCUAUUAUUUUUAUUAAAUUUGAAUUUAAUUUAAAUAUUAAAUGUUUAAGCAUUAAAAAUAAAAAAUUUGGCGGUAUUUAAUAUUUAGAGGAACUUGUUUAUUAAAUUGAUAAUCCACGAAUGGAAGAACUUAAUUUAAAAAUAAUUUUAUGUAUUGUUGUUGAAAAGUUAUAUUAAUAGGUAAUUAUUGAUGAAUUUAAUAAAAUUAUAAUUCAAAUCAAAAUGUAGAAUAAUUAAGAGUUUAAUGAGUUACAAUUAAUUAAAUAUUUGAAUUUUAAAAUAAUUUAAUUUAUAAAUGAAAAUGGAUUUAAAAGUAAAUUUAUAAAAAUUUAUAGGUGAAUAAAAAAUUUAU